Long non-coding RNA from Cavia porcellus (domestic guinea pig), 2717 nucleotides. RefSeq lists it as uncharacterized. The record is from RefSeq and is a predicted model, not a curated record. The transcript has 3 exons. Lineage: Eukaryota; Metazoa; Chordata; Mammalia; Rodentia; Caviidae.
CUAGGUGUUUUGUGCCAGAGAUAGAUUCUAAAUUUUAAAAAAAGAAAAAGGAACUGAGAGUGGCGGCACACACUUGUAACCCUAGCACUCAGGAGGCUGAGGCAGAGGCUAUCCCGGUCUAUACAGUGAGUUUAAGGCCAGCUGGAACUAUGUAGGGAGACUCUGUUUUGCCCCCUCCCCCGCAAAAAAAAAGGAAAACAAAAAACACAGAAACAGUGAAAGGACCAAAAACAUAUACAUAAGUUUAGCUCUAAAAUUUUUUGUAAUUUGCAUUUUUUUUUUUUUUUUUUUUUUUUGAGACAGCUCCAAACAAUAACACUAUGCUUCCUCUCCGGGUCUCCUUUUUAUGCUGGCAGCCAUCCUCAGGUGGGUCGUCCACGUGCAGCACCAUGCUGAUUCAGUUCAGCUCUUGUUACCAGUUUUCAGUACACCUCAGACCUGUAUUAUGAGCGCUGCAGGUGUCAGGUAAGGGAAGAUCCAGCUUGUGGUGGGUUGGGCAGCUGAGUCGUGGGCACUACACUCUGUUCCUGCCGACAAAAUGCAGCCACUGAGAGUGAGCAUCUGACACCUGAAUGGAAUGGCAGCUCUGGAUGGGAGGUGACAAAGGACUUACAAUUCCUGACCCUGCAGCUGUGGCCACUUUCUUUGAGUCAGUAGUGUAACAUUUGCAGUACUCAAGAGAUUGCUGUUCAGACAAGAAAAAAACCUACAAACAGGCAGUUGUUGCCAGGGCAGCAGGCAACAGAAGGUGGCUGUGACUGCCUGCUACCAUGGUAACGCUGAUAGCUGUACAAGCAGGCUUGAGGUGCAUAGCUGACAUUGUCACCAGUGUUAGAUUUAUCUGGGGUUCUAUUUAAAUCUUGAAUUUCCAGGACACAUGACCUCAGGUUCACAGUUUGUAGGAGUGGGAUAGGAUCUGGAAUCUGCCUUUGAGCAAUACCCCAGGCAACAUGUAAAAAGUCUCCAAUGCCAUUAAUAUUUGAGGACCACUAACUGAAGAAAACCACAUCUCUGGGAUCGAACUCACGACCGCCUGCUUGCAAGGCAGGUGCUUAUGCCGCUGAGCUAAAUCCCCAGCCCAAUGGUUUCAUUUCUAAUAAGGGAAAGCCUACACUUCUUAAAUACAGAUGGUGUCAUCCUCGUAUGGCGGACCUUACAGGAUGUUUGCUGUGGUCACAUGGCUCUUGACCGUCUCUGGGUGAGGGCUGUGAAGAGUGACGAGAAGAUGAGGAAGACAAGAUAAUGGAAAGCUGGGAUCAGGUGGAGUCUUCUGUCUAGAUGGGAGCAAAGGAACUGCUCAACCACUGCAGUGCGUUUAUUUACACAUUCAGCAGAUUGAUGUCAUAUGACCCCUCCGCCCCUUUGCCUAGCAACCUGCCUGCAUGGUAGUCUAAGGGCUUGGUGUUUUCUGGACUGGAGUGGCUUGUUCACAUGGUGCACCUCUGGCGCUUUUUGUUCUUGGGUUGGCCUUGGCCCAUCCCUGCACAUGUGAUCAAUUUCCAGCUUCAGUUGCUCCCCACAGAUGUUGUAUAUUGCAAAGAACCCACUACACUGUCAAUUCUUAGAGAAGAAAUUCAAAAUGCAUGCAAUCUCAAUGGGCCAAGAUUAUGCGAACAGCAUCUGGCAAUACUAAUAAAGAUGUGGAAGCUAAUAGCCACCACUUUGAGCACCUCUUGUGAUUGUAGAAGCCAGAGGUAAUUUAUAAUUACUCUCACGAUGUCUUAGUAAGGUUACUGUUAAAAUAUUUAUACAGUUUUUUUUGAAGUGUGUACACUUUUUUUUGGUGUUCUUUGUGUAUCUAUAUGUCUCUAACUUGAUCUAUCUAUCUUGAUAUUAAGGUCAUGUUUAUUUGCAGUACUGAGGAUUGAACCAGGGCCUAUGCCCUAAACUACAUCCCCAAACUGUUUUCUUGAGGCUAGACCUUCCUAAGUGUUAUAGCUUAAGUAUACACCCUCCUCCCCCACCUCAGGUGCUCAUAGUUAGGGAUUUGGGGAGGUGACUGGACCAUGGAAGUGUGACAUUGGGUCAUGGUGUAUGCCCUAGUGGCACCUCAAUUCAGGAUCCCUUUUGUUUAUGAACAAUUUGUUUCACGAACAGAAGCAUUUGGUGAAAUUUUGUUUUUGUUUGCAAAUUCCACAUCAGGUGAUGAACAUGACACUGAUCCUCUUUCUUGCAUGAAUCUGAACAUGACCGUGGCCAUUGUGAACGGAAAUACCACUGUACUGGAGCCACCUACUGAUGGGUUCAUAGUGGUGCUGAGCAAUGGAGCCUGGUGGGAGGAGGCGGCCCCUGGUCCAUGGCCUGCAGGGUACAUAACCCUCCUCUUCCCUUGGGUCCCUCAGUGCUUCCUGCUUGCUGCUAUCUGCUUCCUUCCUGCCAUGCUGUGAGCUGUUCUUACUCUGCGAUGCCCCUCUGCCACACCACACUGCCUUGCAGUCAGCUGACUAUGGGCUGAAAUAAGUCUUUUCUCCUUUAACUUGGGGUGUUAGGCAUUUUGGCUCAGCAACAAGAAAAAGUCACUAAGAUACCUGGCUCAUUUGAUUUUGUUUCUUUUUUUCUUUUUAUUGGCUCAUUUGAUUUUUAAAAUUAUUAUUUUUCAUUAUUUUGGGAGACUUUUGUAUUAUAAAAAGAAUUAAUGAGGAAGUAUAAAGAAAAUAUCUGAAGUCUUAUCACUGAGAGAAAACCAUUGUCAAUAAAUGCAGUCACGUACUUCCUGC